This 484-nucleotide ribosomal RNA is filed under the name uncultured bacterium. RNAcentral's name for it is "partial 16S ribosomal RNA". It matches the Rfam family "Bacterial small subunit ribosomal RNA", at positions 30 to 507 of the family's 1533-position model. The record is from RNAcentral.
AUUGAACGCUGGCGGCAGGCCUAACACAUGCAAGUCGAGCGGAUGAAGGGAGCUUGCUCCUGGAUUCAGCGGCGGACGGGUGAGUAAUGCCUAGGAAUCUGCCUGGUAGUGGGGGAUAACGUCCGGAAACGGGCGCUAAUACCGCAUACGUCCUGAGGGAGAAAGUGGGGGAUCUUCGGACCUCACGCUAUCAGAUGAGCCUAGGUCGGAUUAGCUAGUUGGUGGGGUAAAGGCCUACCAAGGCGACGAUCCGUAACUGGUCUGAGAGGAUGAUCAGUCACACUGGAACUGAGACACGGUCCAGACUCCUACGGGAGGCAGCAGUGGGGAAUAUUGGACAAUGGGCGAAAGCCUGAUCCAGCCAUGCCGCGUGUGUGAAGAAGGUCUUCGGAUUGUAGAGCACUUUAAGUUGGGAGGAAGGGCAGUAAGUUAAUACCUUGCUGUUUUGACGUUACCGACAGAAUAAGCACCGGCUAACUUCGUG